GCUGGCGGCAUGCUUUACACAUGCAAGUCGAACGGGGUGAGGGGGCAACCUCUCAUUCAGUGGCGAACGGGUGAGUAAUGCAUCGGAACGUGUCCCGCAGUGGGGGAUAACUCGGCGAAAGCCGAGCUAAUACCGCAUACGCUCUGCGGAGGAAAGCGGGGGACCCGCAAGGGCCUCGUGCUAUGGGGGCGGCCGAUGUCCGAUUAGCUGGUUGGUGGGGUAAUGGCCUACCAAGGCGACGAUCGGUAGCUGGUCUGAGAGGAUGAUCAGCCACACUGGGACUGAGACACGGCCCAGACUCCUACGGGAGGCAGCAGUGGGGAAUUUUGGACAAUGGGGGCAACCCUGAUCCAGCCAUGCCGCGUGCGGGAAGAAGGCCUUCGGGUUGUAAACCGCUUUUAGCCGGGACGAAAGCUGUACGGAUAACACCCGUGCAGGUUGACGGUACCGGCGGAAUAAGCACCGGCUAACUACGUGCCAGCAGCCGCGGUAAUACGUAGGGUGCGAGCGUUAAUCGGAAUUACUGGGCGUAAAGCGUGCGCA
RNAcentral lists this ribosomal RNA (543 nucleotides) under uncultured soil bacterium. RNAcentral describes it as "bacterial SSU rRNA". It matches the Rfam family "Bacterial small subunit ribosomal RNA", at positions 35 to 573 of the family's 1533-position model. The record is from RNAcentral.